RNAcentral lists this ribosomal RNA (1757 nucleotides) under Vibrio cholerae CT 5369-93. Its description in RNAcentral is "bacterial LSU rRNA". It matches the Rfam family "Bacterial large subunit ribosomal RNA", at positions 1188 to 2925 of the family's 2925-position model. Lineage: Bacteria; Pseudomonadati; Pseudomonadota; Gammaproteobacteria; Vibrionales; Vibrionaceae. The record is from RNAcentral.
CAUACACCGAAGCUGCGGCAAUAUCUUUUAGAUAUUGGGUAGGGGAGCGUUCUGUAAGCCGUUGAAGGUGAAUCGUAAGGUUUGCUGGAGGUAUCAGAAGUGCGAAUGCUGACAUGAGUAACGACAAAGGGGGUGAAAAACCUCCUCGCCGGAAGACCAAGGGUUCCUGUCCAACGUUAAUCGGGGCAGGGUGAGUCGACCCCUAAGGUGAGGCCGAAAGGCGUAAUCGAUGGGAAACGGGUUAAUAUUCCCGUACUUCUGACUAUUGCGAUGGGGGGACGGAGAAGGCUAGGUGGGCCAGGCGACGGUUGUCCUGGUUCAAGUGCGUAGGCUUGAGAGUUAGGUAAAUCCGGCUCUCUCUAAGGCUGAGACACGACGUCGAGCUGCUACGGCAGUGAAGUCAUUGAUGCCAUGCUUCCAGGAAAAGCCUCUAAGCUUCAGAUAGUCAGGAAUCGUACCCCAAACCGACACAGGUGGUCGGGUAGAGAAUACCAAGGCGCUUGAGAGAACUCGGGUGAAGGAACUAGGCAAAAUGGUACCGUAACUUCGGGAGAAGGUACGCUCUUGAUGGUGAAGUCCCUCGCGGAUGGAGCUGACGAGAGUCGCAGAUACCAGGUGGCUGCAACUGUUUAUUAAAAACACAGCACUGUGCAAAAUCGCAAGAUGACGUAUACGGUGUGACGCCUGCCCGGUGCCGGAAGGUUAAUUGAUGGGGUUAGCGCAAGCGAAGCUCUUGAUCGAAGCCCCGGUAAACGGCGGCCGUAACUAUAACGGUCCUAAGGUAGCGAAAUUCCUUGUCGGGUAAGUUCCGACCUGCACGAAUGGCGUAAUGAUGGCCACGCUGUCUCCACCCGAGACUCAGUGAAAUUGAAAUCGCUGUGAAGAUGCAGUGUACCCGCGGCUAGACGGAAAGACCCCGUGAACCUUUACUACAGCUUGGCACUGAACAUUGAACCUACAUGUGUAGGAUAGGUGGGAGGCUUUGAAGACGUGACGCCAGUUGCGUUGGAGCCGUCCUUGAAAUACCACCCUUGUAUGUUUGAUGUUCUAACUUAGACCCGUUAUCCGGGUUGAGGACAGUGCCUGGUGGGUAGUUUGACUGGGGCGGUCUCCUCCCAAAGAGUAACGGAGGAGCACGAAGGUGGGCUAAUCACGGUUGGACAUCGUGAGGUUAGUGCAAUGGCAUAAGCCCGCUUAACUGCGAGAAUGACGGUUCGAGCAGGUGCGAAAGCAGGUCAUAGUGAUCCGGUGGUUCUGUAUGGAAAGGGCCAUCGCUCAACGGAUAAAAGGUACUCCGGGGAUAACAGGCUGAUACCGCCCAAGAGUUCAUAUCGACGGCGGUGUUUGGCACCUCGAUGUCGGCUCAUCACAUCCUGGGGCUGAAGUCGGUCCCAAGGGUAUGGCUGUUCGCCAUUUAAAGUGGUACGCGAGCUGGGUUUAGAACGUCGUGAGACAGUUCGGUCCCUAUCUGCCGUGGGCGUUGGAAGAUUGAAGGGGGCUGCUCCUAGUACGAGAGGACCGGAGUGGACGAACCUCUGGUGUUCGGGUUGUGUCGCCAGACGCAUUGCCCGGUAGCUAAGUUCGGAAUCGAUAACCGCUGAAAGCAUCUAAGCGGGAAGCGAGCCCUGAGAUGAGUCUUCCCUGGCGCUUUAAGCGUCCUAAAGGGUUGUUCGAGACUAGAACGUUGAUAGGCAGGGUGUGUAAGCGUUGUGAGGCGUUGAGCUAACCUGUACUAAUUGCCCGUGAGGCUUAACCAU